This 253-nucleotide ribosomal RNA is filed under the name uncultured bacterium. RNAcentral's name for it is "partial 16S ribosomal RNA". It matches the Rfam family "Bacterial small subunit ribosomal RNA", at positions 524 to 776 of the family's 1533-position model. The record is from RNAcentral.
UACGGAGGGUGCAAGCGUUGUCCGGAAUUAUUGGGCGUAAAGAGCUCGUAGGCGGUUUGUCGCGUCGAAUGUGAAAUCCCGGGGCUCAACCCCGGGUCUGCAUUCGAUACGGGCAGACUAGAGUUCGGUAGGGGAGUCUGGAAUUCCUGGUGUAGCGGUGAAAUGCGCAGAUAUCAGGAGGAACACCGGUGGCGAAGGCGGGACUCUGGGCCGAUACUGACGCUGAGGAGCGAAAGCGUGGGGAGCAAACAGG